Molecule: transfer RNA, 62 nt
Filed under: Alectorobius rietcorreai
Lineage: Eukaryota; Metazoa; Arthropoda; Arachnida; Ixodida; Argasidae
Description: tRNA-Gly
Source: RNAcentral
AUUUUAUUAGUAUAUAUAAGUACACCUAAUUUCCAAUUAGAAAGAUUUUUCAAAAUAAAAUA